RNAcentral lists this long non-coding RNA (290 nucleotides) under Homo sapiens (human). RNAcentral's name for it is "non-protein coding LINC02109:53". Lineage: Eukaryota; Metazoa; Chordata; Mammalia; Primates; Hominidae. The record is from RNAcentral.
CUAUAGGUUGGUAUGUACCCAAUUGUGACUAAACCAAAAGAAACAAAUCUGGAAACUGAAGUAUCAAUACGUGAAAAGCGUUCUUUUGGUAUUGGGAGUGCCAGUUGUCUUUGUUUCAUGAACUACUUCUCCGUAAUAGCAUGCAGCCAUCUUCAAGAGGUGAGAAUUUCACUUAGCGACUUAAACAGAAGUGUUAUCUCAAGAUAAUAUAAUAUCUGGAGGUAAAACAGCAUCCCCAGGAUAAACAGCUAUGUCAUUUCUAUAUUGCCUGACCUAAAGGAAAAGAAAAA